GGGCGAUUAGCUCAGCUGGUUAGAGUGCCGGUUUCACAUACCGGAGGUCGGCAGUUCAAGUCUGCCAUCGCCCACCA
Molecule: transfer RNA, 77 nt
Filed under: Candidatus Latescibacterota bacterium
Lineage: Bacteria; Pseudomonadati; Candidatus Latescibacterota
Description: tRNA-Val
Rfam family: tRNA
About the family: Transfer RNA (tRNA) molecules are approximately 80 nucleotides in length.
Source: RNAcentral